ACGUAGGGGGCAAGCGUUAUCCGGAUUUACUGGGUGUAAAGGGAGCGUAGACGGAGCAGCAAGUCUGAUGUGAAAGGCGGGGGCUCAACCCCUGGACUGCAUUGGAAACUGUUGAUCUUGAGUACCGGAGAGGUAAGCGGAAUUCCUAGUGUAGCGGUGAAAUGCGUAGAUAUUAGGAGGAACACCAGUGGCGAAGGCGGCUUACUGGACGGUAACUGACGUUGAGGCUCGAAAGCGUGGGGAGCAAACAG
This 251-nucleotide ribosomal RNA is filed under the name uncultured bacterium. RNAcentral's name for it is "partial 16S ribosomal RNA". It matches the Rfam family "Bacterial small subunit ribosomal RNA", at positions 525 to 775 of the family's 1533-position model. The record is from RNAcentral.